RNAcentral lists this ribosomal RNA (253 nucleotides) under uncultured bacterium. RNAcentral describes it as "partial 16S ribosomal RNA". It matches the Rfam family "Bacterial small subunit ribosomal RNA", at positions 524 to 776 of the family's 1533-position model. The record is from RNAcentral.
UACGUAGGGGGCUAGCGUUGUCCGGAUUUAUUGGGCGUAAAGAGCGUGUAGGCGGCCAAGUAGGUCCGGUGUGAGAACUCGAGGCUUAACCUCGAGAUGUCAUCGGAAACCAUUUGGCUAGAGUCCGGAAGAGGAAAGUGGAAUUCCUGGUGUAGCGGUGAAAUGCGCAGAUAUCAGGAAGAACACCAAUGGCGAAAGCAGCUUUCUGGGACGGUACUGACGCUGAGACGCGAAAGCGUGGGGAGCGAACAGG